This 878-nucleotide ribosomal RNA is filed under the name uncultured Sporidiobolales. RNAcentral's name for it is "SSU rRNA". It matches the Rfam family "Eukaryotic small subunit ribosomal RNA", at positions 567 to 1472 of the family's 1831-position model. Lineage: Eukaryota; Fungi; Basidiomycota; Microbotryomycetes; Sporidiobolales. The record is from RNAcentral.
CAAGCAGCCGCGGUAAUUCCAGCUCCAAUAGCGUAUAUUAAAGUUGUUGCCGUUAAAAAGCUCGUAGUCGAACUUCGGCGCCUGAUGGCCGGUCCGCCUUCUUGGUGUGUACUUGCUCAUCGGGCGCUUACCUCCUGGUGAACUCUGAUGUCCUUUACUGGGUGUCAGAGCAAACCAGGACGUUUACUUUGAAAAAAUUAGAGUGUUCAAAGCAGGCCUACGCCCGAAUACAUUAGCAUGGAAUAAUAGAAUAGGACGCGCGUUCCCAUUUUGUUGGUUUCUGAGAUCGCCGUAAUGAUUAAUAGGGAUAGUUGGGGGCAUUUGUAUUCCGUCGUCAGAGGUGAAAUUCUUGGAUUGCCGGAAGACAAACUACUGCGAAAGCAUUUGCCAAGGAUGUUUUCAUUGAUCAAGAACGAAGGAAGGGGGAUCGAAAACGAUCAGAUACCGUUGUAGUCUCUUCUGUAAACUAUGCCAAUUGGGGAUUAGCACAGGAUUUUCAAUGACUGUGUUAGCACCCGAAGAGAAAUCUUUAAAUGAGGUUCGGGGGGGAGUAUGGUCGCAAGGCUGAAACUUAAAGGAAUUGACGGAAGGGCACCACCAGGUGUGGAGCCUGCGGCUUAAUUUGACUCAACACGGGGAAACUCACCAGGUCCAGACACAAUAAGGAUUGACAGAUUGAUAGCUCUUUCUUGAUCUUGUGGUUGGUGGUGCAUGGCCGUUCUUAGUUGGUGGAGUGAUUUGUCUGGUUAAUUCCGAUAACGAACGAGACCUUAACCUGCUAAAUAGACCAGUCGACUUUGGUUGACUGCUGUCUUCUUAGAGGGACUAUCAGCGUUUAGCUGAUGGAAGUUUGAGGCAAUAACAGGUCUGUGAUGCCC